This 444-nucleotide ribosomal RNA is filed under the name uncultured bacterium. RNAcentral describes it as "SSU rRNA". It matches the Rfam family "Bacterial small subunit ribosomal RNA", at positions 26 to 518 of the family's 1533-position model. The record is from RNAcentral.
AGAGCGAACGCUGGCGGCAGGCCUAAUACAUGCAAGUCGAACGGAUCCUUCGGGAUUAGUGGCGGACGGGUGAGUAACACGUGGGAACGUGCCCUUUGGUUCGGAACAACUCAGGGAAACUUGAGCUAAUACCGGAUGUGCCCUUCGGGGGAAAGAUUUAUCGCCAUUGGAGCGGCCCGCGUCUGAUUAGCUAGUUGGUGGGGUAAAGGCCUACCAAGGCUACGAUCAGUAGCUGGUCUGAGAGGAUGAUCAGCCACACUGGGACUGAGACACGGCCCAGACUCCUACGGGAGGCAGCAGUAGGGAAUCUGCGCAAUGGGCGAAAGCCUGACGCAGCCAUGCCGCGUGAAUGAUGAAGGUCUUAGGAUUGUAAAAUUCUUUCAGUGGGGACGAUAAUGACGGUACCACAGAAGAAGCCCCGGCUAACUUCGUGCCAGCAGCCGC